RNAcentral lists this ribosomal RNA (469 nucleotides) under uncultured bacterium. RNAcentral's name for it is "partial 16S ribosomal RNA". It matches the Rfam family "Bacterial small subunit ribosomal RNA", at positions 28 to 507 of the family's 1533-position model. The record is from RNAcentral.
GACGAACGCUGGCGGCGUGCUUAACACAUGCAAGUCGAACGGAAAGGCCCUGCUUGCAGGGUGCUCGAGUGGCGAACGGGUGAGUAACACGUGGGUGAUCUGCCCCUUACUUUGGGAUAAGCCUGGGAAACUGGGUCUAAUACUGGAUAGGACCAUGCUGUAGGUGGUGUGGUGGAAAGAUUAGUUUCGGUAAGGGAUGAGCUCGCGGCCUAUCAGCUUGUUGGUGGGGUAAUGGCCUACCAAGGCGUCGACGGGUAGCCGGCCGGAGAGGGUGGACAGCCGCAUUGGGGCGGAGGAGAGGCCCAGACGACUACGGGGGGCAGCAGUAGGGGAGAAUGCACAAUGGGGGCAGGCCGGAUGCAGCGGCGCCGCGGGGGGGAUGACGACCUUCGGGUUGUAGACUCCUUUCAGCCAUGACGAAGCCCUUGUGGUGACGGUAGUGGUAGAAGAAGCACCGGCUAACUACGUG